GGGAUAAGUGAUGCAUAAGAGCAGGCUGAAUGUAUCACACCACAGACCCCAUGAAUUACUCUACUUCCAGCCUUCCCCUGAGAAAGGAAUAGGCAAAGCAAAUUGCUUUGAUGGGGAUCUGCCCCAAACUGCAUUUUCUCUUUACAAAAGAUAAGGACUUAACUGUUUGCAUGCACUGCAAAAUUAUAUCUGACACUGGGUAUCUUGAAUGCUGAUGUCUUUAUAGUUUUGCUGUACUGAAAAAGCUUGGAUUGGAGGACACAUUAGACCAAAACACCACAGCAGGUAGAAAAGUAAGACUGGCUUGGUACUUUGUGCCUUUUCAUUAGUCUAGAUUUUGCCUACUAUAGGUACAGAUUCGAGUCUUGGACUGUACAGGUAUACUCAACCACGAGCAGUUGCAGGAUUAAUAGAGUAACAUAAUUCUCUCCAGUGCACAUAACUCCCUACUACACGUCAAUAGUUUCCGAUGGACCGCACAGCAAAUGGAUUGGCUAAAAAGAAUCUAAGGUCAAAUUGACUGUCUAUAGCAAAGCUUUAAUGAAAAUAGCUUCACUUAAGUGAUAAGUAAUAGCUGCUGAAGACUUGGAAUCAAAUUACUGAAACAACAGACCUUCUUGGACAGAUAUUGGGAAGGGCUGUUAAACGCCUCAACACAAACGAGGCUUAGACCUACUAGCUGUACAGUUGUAGUGACCAGGAAUCAAUUCAAUCAGCUAAUGUCAAAACAUGCUUCCUUUAUAAUAGUGAUUUUUAAAACAUAAUAGGUCAGAAGUAUAUUAAUCCACUUAAGGUUACUUAAAUCUGUAAAUACUUCUGUAUGGAAGUUUUAUAUCCAAAUGCAGCUUGACACAGUAAAACUUAAAAAAUUCACGCCCCAUAUAAUAACAUUCAGGUUUAAUAUAAGCAGUGUUAUUUAAACAGCUUGUGUAGCUCAUCCUCCUGUACAGCAAGUAAUAAAAUACGUCUGAGGUUAACUUCUGGUAAAUGUUUGCAAUACUUUUGUAAGAAUUCCAAUAUUCUCAUGGUGGAGCAUUCAGGGUGCUAAGUAGGAUGAGAUUUUACAGUCUUUAAAUGAAGCCAAAUAAACAUCCGUUCUUGCUUCCUAUCACAUUAAAAAGUUAUUAAAUA
RNAcentral lists this long non-coding RNA (1131 nucleotides) under Strigops habroptila (Kakapo). Its description in RNAcentral is "lncRNA (ENSSHBG00005019463.1)". The record is from RNAcentral. Lineage: Eukaryota; Metazoa; Chordata; Aves; Psittaciformes; Psittacidae.